Molecule: ribosomal RNA, 492 nt
Filed under: Cyphocharax boiadeiro
Lineage: Eukaryota; Metazoa; Chordata; Actinopteri; Characiformes; Curimatidae
Description: partial 16S ribosomal RNA
Rfam family: Bacterial large subunit ribosomal RNA
Source: RNAcentral
AACAUCGCCUCCUGCAAAAAUCAAUGUAUAGGAGGUCCUGCCUGCCCAGUGACAGCUUGUUAAACGGCCGCGGUAUUUUGACCGUGCUAAGGUAGCGCAAUCACUUGUCUUUUAAAUGAAGACCUGUAUGAAUGGUGGAACGAGGGCUUAACUGUCUCCCUUCUCCCGUCAAUGAAAUUGAUCUGCCCGUGCAGAAGCGGACAUGUACAUACAAGACGAGAAGACCCUUUGGAGCUUAUUGGGGCGACCGCGGGGGAAAAYAAAGCCCCCACGUAAAACCGAGAGAGACAUCUCUAAGCCACAGAACAUCUGACCAAAAGAUCCGGCCCACAAGCCGAUCAACGAACCAAGUUACCCUAGGGAUAACAGCGCAAUCCUUUCCAAGAGUUCAUAUCGACGAGRGGGUUUACGACCUCGAUGUUGGAUCAGGACAUCCUAAUGGUGCAGCCGCUAUUAAGGGUUCGUUUGUUCAACGAUUAAAGUCCUACGUGA